CAAUAGCGUAUAUUUAAGUUGUUGCAGUUAAAAAGCUCGUAGUCGGAUUUUGGCUGAGAACGAUCGGUCCGCCGUUAGGUGUGCACUGAUUGGUCUCAGCUUCCUGGUGAGGAGGUGUGCUUCACGGCCACUUAGUCACCGUGGUUACUUUGAAAAAAUUAGAGUGUUCAAAGCGGGCUUACGCUUGAAUAUAUUAGCAUGGAAUAACACCAUAGGACUCCUGUCCUAUUUCGUUGGUCACGGGACGGGAGUAAUGAUUAAGAGGAACAGUUGGGGCAUUCGUAUUUCAUUGUCAGAGGUGAAAUUCUUGGAUUUAUGAAAGACGAACUUCUGCGAAAGCAUUUGCCAAGGAUGUUUUCAUUGA
Molecule: ribosomal RNA, 364 nt
Filed under: uncultured eukaryote
Lineage: Eukaryota
Description: partial 18S ribosomal RNA
Rfam family: Eukaryotic small subunit ribosomal RNA
Source: RNAcentral